AAGUCGUAACAAGGUCUCCGUAGGUGAACCUGCGGAGGGAUCAUUACCGAGCGAGGGCGUCCGCCGCCCGACCUCCAACCCUUUGUCGACCGACUCAGUUGCCUCGGGGGCGACCCGGCCCCGUCGGCGUCGGGCCCCCCGGUGGACCACACCACUCUGCGUUUUUGCGUCGGAGUCUCAUAGAAAAUUGAAUCAAAACUUUCAACAACGGAUCUCUUGGUUCUG
Molecule: unclassified non-coding RNA, 225 nt
Filed under: air metagenome
Description: partial contains small subunit ribosomal RNA, internal transcribed spacer 1, and 5.8S ribosomal RNA
Rfam family: Eukaryotic small subunit ribosomal RNA (bases 1-46)
Source: RNAcentral